UUAAAAAAAAAAAAAAAAGCAGCUUUUUUCUCUUAAUUCUGUUAUUGGUGAUGCAGGUACAUAAACAACCCCCAUUAUUAUUUGAAUUCUUUCGUACGUAUUGUAAGGUAAAAUGAAGGGAUAAAAAUAUUGACUAUUUCACUAUUGCAGGACAUUCAACUAUCUGUCCAAGCGCCUUUACCAAAGUAUCUAACUGGAGAUCUACAGAGGCUUAUUCUGGAUGCCAUAUUUUCUAGUAAAACAUGGAGAUUAAUAUCUGUGAACUGAUUGCUAGCUGCCUGAAAUGAAGAGCACAUCCUUCACUUGCUGCAGAAACUGAUGUAUGCUUGGCUGUCAUCUAUUUCAAACACUUCUUGUUUAAACGCAGAAUGAAGCAUACACCCCAGAAAUUAUUAAUUUUCAUCACAUCUAGUGUAGAGGAGGCCUGUCAUUAAUGCUUGACACUUUCUGCAGAAGAUACUGAUGAUCCACAUCUGUGCAUGUUCUCUCUCUCUCCCCUCCCAACCUUCUGUUUCUUCAAACAUAGUUCUGACAGAUGUUAUCACAUGAAGCUAUAAGGAAGAUGUUUUUAGGUGACAAACAUGAGUGGAUGAGGCAUUCAAAUACUGAGGAGUCGAUGUCACUUGUUUCAACUUUGAGUCCUUCUCAAAAGGCAAUACUUUUGUAGUGUAUCAUCCUUGCACUCAGGAAGUUGAUCUCUGGCGGAGACUGAUGCAACAAGAAAUUCUAGAGCUUGAAGUUCUGAUUAAUGCCCACGUGUAGAAGAACUCGAAGAUGAAAACUAACUCUUGGGAAUCAAGAAAAUCUGUGAUGGCUACAAGAGUAGGGAUUGCAUUAAAAAUUUCUUCAAGGUCAGAAGAAGAGAUCAGAGAGAGUUUUGUUAAGAGUAGAAGAAAACGGCUGAGGGGUUAGCAGCGACAGCAACCAAUCAGUUGGGAAAUUGUGGGUGUAAGAUGGGAGAUGGCUUUCCCUCACUAUUUUAACAAGCAAUUUCUCCUACUUGGAGAAUGGUAGGCCAACGGUCAAAAGAAGACGCACCAUCUCUGUUUUUUUUUUAUUUUA
Molecule: unclassified non-coding RNA, 1062 nt
Filed under: Hevea brasiliensis (rubber tree)
Lineage: Eukaryota; Viridiplantae; Streptophyta; Magnoliopsida; Malpighiales; Euphorbiaceae
Source: RNAcentral